This 133-nucleotide small RNA is filed under the name Salmonella enterica subsp. enterica serovar Panama str. SA20030878. Its description in RNAcentral is "RtT RNA". It matches the Rfam family "RtT RNA". Rfam says of the family: This family represents a bacterial cis-regulatory element known as RtT RNA. The exact function of RtT is unknown although it is thought that it may be involved in changing the cellular response in relation to amino acid starvation. The record is from RNAcentral. Lineage: Bacteria; Pseudomonadati; Pseudomonadota; Gammaproteobacteria; Enterobacterales; Enterobacteriaceae.
UGUAUCGGAAGCCUGACGAGGAUGAGAACCUCCGGGGGCAAGAGGUUCGACUCGAGCGCAGCGAGAGAACGUUGCGUCAGCAACGGCCCGCAGGGCGAGCCACGCAGUGGCGAGUCAUCCUCUAUCACCGGCA